This is a long non-coding RNA of Lolium rigidum, 268 nucleotides long. RefSeq lists it as uncharacterized. The transcript has 3 exons. NCBI's taxonomy places the organism in Eukaryota, Viridiplantae, Streptophyta, Magnoliopsida, Poales, Poaceae. The record is from RefSeq and is a predicted model, not a curated record.
CGUAGUGGUUUGUUCCUUUGCUUCAGAUCGAGAGGUCUUUGGUUCAAAUCCUGCCCGAGGCAUUACCUCACGUUUUUGCCUUCUAUUUUGGUUCAGAUCUGGCGCUGAGAUAUGCUUCAAUUUCGGUGGAGCCUUCCCGUAUUCAACAUCACCAGCCUAGCCCAUUUGAUCCGCCGAUGGGCCUUGGCCCAGGUUCCUUCCCUGGCGCUACUCCUCUAUCCGUCGCCAGCAGCAUGCAGCAUUUGCUUCUUCCCGGAUAGGAUCACGA